UACGUAGGGUGCAAGCGUUAAUCGGAAUUACUGGGCGUAAAGCGUGCGCAGGCGGUUUUGUAAGUUUGUCGUGAAAUCCCCGGGCUUAACCUGGGAACUGCAUUUGUGACUGCAUUGCUGGAGUGCGGCAGAGGGGGAUGGAAUUCCGCGUGUAGCAGUGAAAUGCGUAGAUAUGUGGAGGAACACCGAUGGCGAAGGCAGCCCCCUGGGCUAACACUGACGCUCAUGCACGAAAGCGUGGGGAGCAAACAGG
RNAcentral lists this ribosomal RNA (253 nucleotides) under uncultured bacterium. RNAcentral describes it as "partial 16S ribosomal RNA". It matches the Rfam family "Bacterial small subunit ribosomal RNA", at positions 524 to 776 of the family's 1533-position model. The record is from RNAcentral.